AGAUUAAGUGACACCUGGGAUCACGUGGCUGGUAAACCAUGGAGCCAGGAUUCACACACAAGCAGUAGCCUCCAUGGCCCACAUUUAAGCCCUCAGCUCUCCAGAGAGGGAAGGAAACUGCCAUUUCUCUAGCUCCUACCAUGCUUCAGGCAUUGUGCUAGGUCUCUGAUAUGGGGCAGCGCAACUGGUCUUCAGAACUGUCCUUGUGAGGAGGCAGCAUAAGCCCUGACUUACAAAUGCUGCAACUCGAACUGAGGGCAGAUAGUUCCUUAUUAGUAUAGAGAAAUGCAACUGAUUUCAAGACAUAAGAGAGCUCUUGUGUCUGCUGCAUCCUGGGGAAGCUGGCUUGGAAGUCAGUCUCCCCCAACACGACGUCCAGGCUGUGGAUGCUUUGAGCCAAUUCUGUUCCAGCUGUUGGUCAUCUCCAUCAAACACUGGGGGACUGGCUUUUGUCCCUGAAUGGAUCAUUUCUGCUCUGAUGAUUCUGGCGUCUGCCUGAGAGCCAGCAGGGGAGCAGGCUUGCAACAGAGGCCUCUGAAACUUCACACUUUUUAGAUGUUAAAUUGAAAUCAGGAGCUUUACAUCUCUUCCUUUAUUCGGGAGCCCAUUAAAGCUGUGUGGGAGCUGACGUGGAUUCAGAAGGAACACCAGCAUCACACCUGCGUGGUCCUGUAGCUCCACCAGGUUCCAUCUUCCCACUCUCCAUCACUUGCUCUCUUCCCAAGGAAUUUUCUCUCCACUACAGACCCUGCUGGGUGGGGCAGAAAAAGGACUGGACUUGAAGUCAAGAAGAUCCAGGUCCUUGUUCCAGUCUGUCACUCAUCUGCAUGACUUCAUCACUGAUACUCUCCUAGGAUUCAGUUGCCUGAGUUGUCAAAUGGAGACAGUGAUGUCCCCUCAUGGAGCUGCCAUGUGUGGGUUACAUGAGAAGUAUGUGGAAUGUUAGGUUUUAUGCCUAUUACAAUUUCCAGGCUUCAUCGAGUGACAUCCAGGUAUGGCCAAGCCAUUUCUACCCCAUGAUCCUCUGUGAAGGGCUUCUUGACUAUUCCAGCCUGCCUGACUCCUGGAGGGCUGUGUGACCUUUUCCCACAGCACUCAGCUGCCCAGGUCUAGGGGCACAGGAGGCAGAUACUGGAUUAAUCUGAGGUUUGGGUUUUCUGGGUUGGUGGCCUCCCCAGCUCAUGAUUCAUUAAAGGCUUCCCAUCACAGGUAGAAUAAAACCCAAACCCCU
RNAcentral lists this long non-coding RNA (1231 nucleotides) under Equus asinus (donkey). Its description in RNAcentral is "lncRNA (ENSEASG00005029277.1)". The record is from RNAcentral. Lineage: Eukaryota; Metazoa; Chordata; Mammalia; Perissodactyla; Equidae.